CAAGCAUCACACCCGUCUCAAAGUACAAAGGUUGAAGUACAAGAUUAAGUAUUCUACAAGUAACUGGAGUAAAAGUAUUGCCAUGAGAAAAUUGUCAAACUUAAAGAUUAACCAUGAAAAUCUAAAGCAUCAAGUGCAAGCAAAUGGGUGGCAAGCAUGGCUUUGAUUUCACACGUAGGCGCUAUGUUUACAAAUGUACAUGUUGUCCAUAUUUUGCUUUGCUUCAUAUAUUAGGAGUUCAUCCCUAGCUAGCCUAUAACUUUGAUUGAAAACUUAUGAAUCUGAAACAUUUUGAUUUAAGGACAUUAAGUGUUGUCAAUAUGUAUUUAGAAAUCAAAUUACAUGUCAUAUUUUCAUAUUUUUUUAUUUAUAAAUAGUAUAUGUUUUCCCA
Pyrus x bretschneideri (Chinese white pear) is the source of this 391-nucleotide long non-coding RNA. RefSeq lists it as uncharacterized. The transcript has 3 exons. The record is from RefSeq and is a predicted model, not a curated record. Lineage: Eukaryota; Viridiplantae; Streptophyta; Magnoliopsida; Rosales; Rosaceae.